GGGCGGCUAGCUCAGUUUGGAUAGAGCGUCGGUCUCCGGAACCGAAGGUCGUGGGUUCGAGUCCCACGUCGCCCG
Molecule: transfer RNA, 75 nt
Filed under: Deltaproteobacteria bacterium
Lineage: Bacteria; Pseudomonadati; Myxococcota; Myxococcia
Description: tRNA-Arg
Rfam family: tRNA
About the family: Transfer RNA (tRNA) molecules are approximately 80 nucleotides in length. Their secondary structure includes four short double-helical elements and three loops (D, anti-codon, and T loops). Further hydrogen bonds mediate the characteristic L-shaped molecular structure. tRNAs have two regions of fundamental functional importance: the anti-codon, which is responsible for specific mRNA codon recognition, and the 3' end, to which the tRNAs corresponding amino acid is attached (by aminoacyl-tRNA synthetases). tRNAs cope with the degeneracy of the genetic code in two manners: having more than one tRNA (with a specific anti-codon) for a particular amino acid; and 'wobble' base-pairing, i.e. permitting non-standard base-pairing at the 3rd anti-codon position.
Source: RNAcentral